RNAcentral lists this ribosomal RNA (459 nucleotides) under uncultured bacterium. RNAcentral describes it as "bacterial SSU rRNA". It matches the Rfam family "Bacterial small subunit ribosomal RNA", at positions 198 to 638 of the family's 1533-position model. The record is from RNAcentral.
GGAAGAAAGCAGGGGCUCGUAAGACCUUGCGCUAUUAGAUGAGCCUGCGUCCGAUUAGCUAGUUGGUGGGGUAAAGGCCUACCAAGGCGACGAUCGGUAACUGGUCUGAGAGGAUGAUCAGUCACACUGGAACUGAGACACGGUCCAGACUCCUACGGGAGGCAGCAGUGGGGAAUAUUGGACAAUGGGGGCAACCCUGAUCCAGCCAUGCCGCGUGUGUGAAGAAGGCCUUCGGGUUGUAAAGCACUUUAAGCGGGGAGGAAGGCUCGAUGGCUAAUAUCCAUCGGGAUUGACGUUACCCGCAGAAUAAGCACCGGCAAACUUCGUGCCAGCAGCCGCGGUAAUACGAAGGGUGCGAGCGUUAAUCGGAAUUACUGGGCGUAAAGCGCGCGUAGGUGGUUUGGUAAGCGAUAUGUGAAAUCCCCGGGCUCAACCUGGGAACUGCAUGUCGAACUGUCA